GGAUGUGAGGGCGAUCUGGCUGCGACAAUCCCAUUGAUCCCUAGGGUUGACUCGGCUGGUCUGGCUGGCUAGGGGGAUGUCCCCUUCCUCCUUCACCGCUCCAUGUGUAUCCCUCCCGAUACAUGCUUGGUCGAAGAGGACGAUCUUCCCUGCUAAAGGAGGACUGUUCUUUGGUCAAAGGUAUACGAGUAGCUGCACUCCCCUGCUAGAACCUCCAAACAAUCUCUCAAGAUGGAAUUUUGGUCUGGUAAAGAUUUGGACCUAUUUCUUUUGGAGGAUUGGGUGCAUCCUCUUGGA
This 297-nucleotide small nuclear RNA is filed under the name Dasypus novemcinctus (nine-banded armadillo). RNAcentral's name for it is "7SK RNA (ENSDNOG00000029325.1)". It matches the Rfam family "7SK RNA". From Rfam's summary of the family: 7SK was discovered as an abundant small nuclear RNA in the mid-70s but a possible function has only recently been suggested. Two independent studies have found that 7SK RNA binds the CDK9/cyclin T complex (known as elongation factor P-TEFb). The record is from RNAcentral. Lineage: Eukaryota; Metazoa; Chordata; Mammalia; Cingulata; Dasypodidae.